Molecule: ribosomal RNA, 867 nt
Filed under: Pyrenochaetopsis yunnanensis
Lineage: Eukaryota; Fungi; Ascomycota; Dothideomycetes; Pleosporales; Pyrenochaetopsidaceae
Description: partial large subunit ribosomal RNA
Rfam family: Eukaryotic large subunit ribosomal RNA
Source: RNAcentral
GAAAAGAAACCAACAGGGAUUGCCCUAGUAACGGCGAGUGAAGCGGCAUCAGCUCAAAUUUGAAAUCUGGCUCUUUCAGAGUCCGAGUUGUAAUUUGCAGAGGGCGCUUUGGUGUCGGCAGCGGUCCAAGUUCCUUGGAACAGGACGUCACAGAGGGUGAGAAUCCCGUACGUGGUCGCUGACCUACACCGUGUAAAGCCCCUUCGACGAGUCGAGUUGUUUGGGAAUGCAGCUCUAAAUGGGAGGUAAAUUUCUUCUAAAGCUAAAUACUGGCCAGAGACCGAUAGCGCACAAGUAGAGUGAUCGAAAGAUGAAAAGCACUUUGGAAAGAGAGUCAAACAGCACGUGAAAUUGUUGAAAGGGAAGCGCUUGCAGCCAGACUUGUUUGUAGUUGCUCAUCCGGGCUUUUGCCCGGUGCACUCUUCUGCGAACAGGCCAGCAUCAGUUUGGACGGUUGGAUAAAGGCCUCUGUCACGUACCUUCUCUCGGGAAGGCCUUAUAGGGGAGGCGUCAUGCAACCAGUCUGGACUGAGGUCCGCGCAUCUGCUAGGAUGCUGGCGUAAUGGCUGUAAGCGGCCCGUCUUGAAACACGGACCAAGGAGUCUAACAUCUAUGCGAGUGUUUGGGUGUCAAGCCCGAGCGCGCAAUGAAAGUGAACGGAGGUGGGAUCCCGCAAGGGUGCACCAUCGACCGAUCCUGAAGUCUUCGGAUGGAUUUGAGUAAGAGCAUGGCUGUUGGGACCCGAAAGAUGGUGAACUAUGCUUGAAUAGGGUGAAGCCAGAGGAAACUCUGGUGGAGGCUCGCAGCGGUUCUGACGUGCAAAUCGAUCGUCAAAUUUGGGCAUAGGGGCGAAAGACUAAUCGAACU